UAGAGAUCUAGCUUGUAUAUCCUCUGAGAUAUGGUCAGAAAGUUUCUACCGGACCGCCGUAAAUGGUCCGACUAUAAGCAUGAUUU
Molecule: non-coding RNA, 86 nt
Filed under: bovine gut metagenome
Description: Purine riboswitch
Rfam family: Purine riboswitch aptamer (bases 10-86)
About the family: Riboswitches are metabolite binding domains within certain messenger RNAs that serve as precision sensors for their corresponding targets. Allosteric rearrangement of mRNA structure is mediated by ligand binding, and this results in modulation of gene expression.
Source: RNAcentral